GGAACAUCGAUAAGCUAAACAAAAUUCCAUUGAAAUCUGAAAACAGUGGAUCGGAAAUUCGAAUCGUCAUCUUUUGAUUCCUAAGUUCC
Anopheles coustani is the source of this 89-nucleotide small nucleolar RNA. RefSeq annotates it as small nucleolar RNA SNORD116. Lineage: Eukaryota; Metazoa; Arthropoda; Insecta; Diptera; Culicidae. The transcript has a single exon. The record is from RefSeq and is a predicted model, not a curated record.